Molecule: RNA transcript, 3186 nt
Organism: Gadus chalcogrammus (walleye pollock)
Lineage: Eukaryota; Metazoa; Chordata; Actinopteri; Gadiformes; Gadidae
Exons: 5
Source: RefSeq, a predicted model, not a curated record
AUCUCAGAUUAUAUCAGUAAAUCUACUAACUGAGUAGAGAUGUGUGUUGAGGCAUGUGUGUUUUGCAGAAUCCCAUGUUCAUUUCGGUCAGGUCUCACUGGGUUGUGUGAUAUGAGCAGUGCUGUGCACUAAAAGCGUUCCUAUUUUUGUGAACGCUGAACUGAAAGAAUCCGUUUGCAAAUGAUGAACGUUAACGUAAGCGGCGCGCACACACAAGCAAGUUUUUUUUUUUUAGCCAUCACGUGAACCAGGAGCGGGCGAAAAUGCGCGUCCCCUCCACAUACACGCGCAGUUGCGCACACACCGUCCCCGUGGCCCUGCCACCACUCACUCACUCAGAGCGAGCGACAGUUGGAUCAGAGGAACGUUCGGGGGAAGUAGCCGGUAAGUGACUAUUUUGAAGAACAGUGGAAACAAACACAGUUUCUCCACAGUAAUCAGAAGGUUGGGUUUUACAGAGCGGGAGUUUCAGUGUCCUGUCUUAAUGCCAGGGGUGGGGAACGUCCGGCCUCCGGGCCGCGAGACCAUUUCAGCCGGCCCACAACACAUUAACAUUUUUAUAUUUUAUAUAUGCACUUAUAGUAUGAAUUAAUAAAAAUCAUGAAUUAGUUUUUUGAAAACGCGCUUCAUCACAGCGUCUUCUCACUCUUUUUCGUUGGUUGUUAAGCACCGCUGUUAGUAGAAGAAGAAGAAGAAGAAGAAGUAGUGCUGGAGCUGAACAGCGCCACCCUAACCCCAAUGUAAUACAAUGUUAAUUUGUGGUCAGGAGAAGAAGUGCAACAAUAAAUAUUAAAAGAGAUAUUCCGACUGCUGACACAUAAUAAUAGUUAAAAGUAUUAACAAUUUGAGCAUGGACAGCGGGCCAAAAAUAUAAUUUUUCAACAGCCAUAUAUUAACAAAUGUUACUCAAUCUUUCACACAUUGUGCACUUUUUGGUUUCAAUUUUACACAUGUGGAUAAACCUUUUGUAUAAGGGACUCAUUUCCCUUUCUUUUUUCUCCACAGACAUUCAUGUGGCAAUGCAAACAGUGCAAGACAGUGACAUCAUCACGGUUUCUACUUCUGAAGCACUACAGAGUAACUGUUGGGUUGGACAAAAAAUGACAACCCCAGUUAAACUUCGGAUUAUCAUGGGAGAAAACAACUCCGAAAAAUUGACUCUGCCUUCUGGAAUACCAGAGUCAGUAGAAGUCCUCAAACUUGAGAUCAAGAGACAAUGUGCAGUUUCAGGACUUCCGGCUACAAUACAUGGACGUUGAUUUUGACGAAUUUAUAAAUCUGACCUCAACAGCGGCUCUCCAACACUUGGGCACGGUUAAAGUGAUCACAAAUGCACAGGAAGCAACUGGUGAAGGUAGUACUCCUCAGGUACUGAGAAGUCUCUCAGUGGAAUCCACUUCCCUUUCUUCUACCGACACCGAGAUACUCUCUACCCCUGAUUCAUCACCAUCACCAACCUCGAUGCUGAGAUCUCAGGCCUGGCCAGCAAGCUUCCCUAUUCCACAGUUUUCCUAUGAAGUAGAGCUGCAACUUGUGAAAGCCAAUCAGGAAUAUCACAAAAAUGGCACCCUCCUCAACCCAAGCCCAAAACUCAAGUCUGCAAUUUUAGAGUCCUUGGCUUCUGUAAUAAUCAAGUACAAAGCAUACCCUACAAGUGCAGAGUUUGAUGAUGUUGCAGAGGCUUUGAUUAAAACACAUGCAUGCCUAAAGGAGCAAGGUUCUGUGACAGGAUUCUACGGUUGGAAGAUUAGUUUAAAAUAUAAAAUGGCAAAUUAUCACAGUAGCCUGAGAAACAUAACCUCUGAAUUGAGCAUCAAUUCCAUGAAACGCAGAGGAGGCCACACAAGUCCAAAUCAAGUGAAGAAACCGAGGAAAGCUGAGGUGAAUUUUUUGCCAGACUAUCCAGUUGGCGAAAACCAAAAGACUCUUGAGAAUGAGAGGUUGGAAUUACUGUCUGAGGUCAAGAAGAGGGACAACAAUCAAAUCAUAAAAGUGAAGAUGGACAAAACUUUUGCCUACAGGAGGAAAGAAGUUGUAGUCGACAUGCCCUCCAUUGCAGAAUUUCAAAGCAGAUGGCCAGCUCUUUUUGCUGAAAGUGAGAUAAGUGCAGAAUUUACACGUAUUACCACCAUCCCACUGAUGUCCAAGUUUAUGUCAGAACUUGACCACCACUCUGCUAAGCUGUCCAGGGUGUGCCUUAAGAAGUGAGGAGUAGCAGGUCGCAAGAUUGCAGAGAUCAUGGCUUCCAUCAACGAGAAUGACACCAUUGCUACAAGGAGGGCUUGCAACCUGAAAUCACUUGCUGUGUAUUUAAAUGAAGACCCAGAGAAGCUCAUCAAGGAAUAUCUGGAUGUGAACUUUGAUAAUGCCCAGAGCGAACUGGAUAUGACAGCCCUUGGGAUCUACGUCAUCAAACAUGAGGGUGCAGAUGCCUCCAAUCCACCAGAAGAUGUAGGGAUCAUUGUUGAGGGUGUCGUCAUGCUCAAGCACAUUGGAGAUCUCGCCUGUGCCGUUGCUCUGCUGUUUGGGCUCAUCUACAAUCUGAAUUUGAGCUACCCGCCUGAUCUCAAGUACAGUUUUGAAUUUCUUCAGAAAGUCCUGAUGGGAAUUGAUACCCAUCGCUUUUCAAACAAGGUCCAGGUACUGAAGAAUAAACUUCAUGAAUGAGGUGAGGGAUCUUUGAGCCAUGCAGGGAGAGAAGUGGUUUUAUUGACUGUUCUUAUGCUCUGUCAAGUUGCUUGACAGAUUGUUGUCCCUGUUGUCACUCUCUCUCACCUGUGCUCGUCAGGUUUCACUGUACUUGCCUGUGAUAGUAAUAUUAUUAGGAUAGUUCUUAAAUGAUGUCUUUAGUGGAGGAAAACACUAGUGGAAGCUAGUGAUUUUCUGAGAAAUGCAUUAUGGCAAUAUGCACUUCAGCUGUUCUAUGCACUUUACCUCCUAUGUCUGUUUUUGAGAAAAUGUUUUAGGCAAGAAACAAACUACUUUGAAUUCCAGUAGAACUAUAAUGAGAUUCUUGUAACCCCUUAAUGUUUUACGUCUGCACUUAAAGGUAUAGUUCGGUAUUUUUGAACCUGGGCCUUAUUUCUGUCAUGGGGUGCCUUAAUCUACUAACUGGUAGCAUUUUGGUGAAGAUCUGCGUAGUUUUGACGCUGUUCAGACCAUCGAGAUCGAGCGUAUAUCCAUAUG